GUUCGUAACAAGGUUUCCGUAGGUGAACCUGCGGAAGGAUCAUUG
Molecule: ribosomal RNA, 45 nt
Filed under: Osteocarpum dipterocarpum
Lineage: Eukaryota; Viridiplantae; Streptophyta; Magnoliopsida; Caryophyllales; Amaranthaceae
Description: partial 18S ribosomal RNA
Rfam family: Eukaryotic small subunit ribosomal RNA
Source: RNAcentral